RNAcentral lists this ribosomal RNA (468 nucleotides) under uncultured bacterium. RNAcentral describes it as "partial 16S ribosomal RNA". It matches the Rfam family "Bacterial small subunit ribosomal RNA", at positions 28 to 507 of the family's 1533-position model. The record is from RNAcentral.
GACGAACGCUGGCGGCUUGCUUAACACAUGCAAGUCGAACGGAAAGGCCCUGCUUUUGUGGGGUGCUCGAGUUGCGAACGGGUGAGUAACACGUGAGUAACCUGCCCUUGCCUUUGGGUUACCUUCAGGAAACUCGGGCUACUACCGGAUAGGAGCACCUGCUGCCUUGGGGGGGUUGGAAAUUUUCGGCGGUUGGGGAUGGACUUGCGGCUUAUCAGCUUGUUGGUGGGGUAGUGGCUUACCAAGGCUUUGACGGGUAGCCGGCCUGAGAGGGUGACCGGCCACAUUGGGACUGAGAUACGGCCCAGACUCCUACGGGAGGCAGCAGUGGGGAAUAUUGCACAAUGGGCGGAAGCCUGAUGCAGCAACGCCGCGUGCGGGAUGACGGCCUUAGGGUUGUAAACCGCUUUCGCCUGUGACGAAGCGUGAGUGACGGUAAUGGGUAAAGAAGCACCGGCUAACUACGUG